UUAAAUUGAAGAGUUUGAUCAUGGCUCAGAUUGAACGCUGGCGGCAGGCCUAACACAUGCAAGUCGAACGGUAACAGAAAGAAGCUUGCUUCUUUGCUGACGAGUGGCGGACGGGUGAGUAAUGUCUGGGAAACUGCCUGAUGGAGGGGGAUAACUACUGGAAACGGUAGCUAAUACCGCAUAACGUCGCAAGACCAAAGAGGGGGACCUUCGGGCCUCUUGCCAUCGGAUGUGCCCAGAUGGGAUUAGCUAGUAGGUGGGGUAACGGCUCACCUAGGCGACGAUCCCUAGCUGGUCUGAGAGGAUGACCAGCCACACUGGAACUGAGACACGGUCCAGACUCCUACGGGAGGCAGCAGUGGGGAAUAUUGCACAAU
Molecule: ribosomal RNA, 377 nt
Filed under: Escherichia coli
Lineage: Bacteria; Pseudomonadati; Pseudomonadota; Gammaproteobacteria; Enterobacterales; Enterobacteriaceae
Description: bacterial SSU rRNA
Rfam family: Bacterial small subunit ribosomal RNA
Source: RNAcentral